This 1180-nucleotide ribosomal RNA is filed under the name human gut metagenome. RNAcentral's name for it is "bacterial LSU rRNA". It matches the Rfam family "Bacterial large subunit ribosomal RNA", at positions 810 to 1973 of the family's 2925-position model. The record is from RNAcentral.
UGUGGCUGGGGGUGAAAGGCCAAUCAAACCGGGAGAUAGCUGGUUCUCCCCGAAAUCUAUUUAGGUAGAGCCUUGAGCGGACACCUUCGGGGGUAGAGCACUGUUUCGGCUAGGGGUCCAUCCCGGAUUACCAACCCGAUGCAAACUACGAAUACCGAAGAGUGAUACUCAGGAGACACACGGCGGGUGCUAACGUCCGUCGUGGAGAGGGAAACAACCCAGACCGCCAGCUAAGGUCCCAAAGUCUAUAUUAAGUGGGAAACGAAGUGGGAAGGCUUAGACAGCUAGGAUGUUGGCUUAGAAGCAGCCAUCAUUUAAAGAAAGCGUAAUAGCUCACUAGUCGAGUCGGCCUGCGCGGAAGAUGUAACGGGGCUCAAAUAUAGCACCGAAGCUGCGGCAUCAGACGAAAGUCUGUUGGGUAGGGGAGCGUUCUGUAAGCGGAUGAAGGUGGCUCGAGAGGGCUGCUGGACGUAUCAGAAGUGCGAAUGCUGACAUAAGUAACGAUAAAACGGGUGAAAAACCCGUUCGCCGGAAGACCAAGGGUUCCUGUCCAACGUUAAUCGGGGCAGGGUGAGUCGGCCCCUAAGGCGAGGCUGAAAAGCGUAGUCGAUGGGAAACGGGUUAAUAUUCCCGUACUUGGAUAAACUGCGAUGUGGGGACGGAGCAGGUUAGGUUAUCGCACUGUUGGAUAUGUGCGUUUAAGUUUGUAGGUGAGAAGUUUAGGCAAAUCCGGACUUCUUUAACACUGAGAGAUGAUGACGAGGCUCUACGGAGCUGAAGUAACCGAUACCACACUUCCAGGAAAAGCCACUAAGCUUCAGGUUUAUCUAAACCGUACUGAAAACCGACACAGGUGGUCAGGUAGAGAAUACUCAGGCGCUUGAGAGAACUCGGGUGAAGGAACUAGGCAAAAUAGCACCGUAACUUCGGGAGAAGGUGCGCCGGCGUAGAUUGUAGUCCCUUGCGGAUGAAGGUUGAACCGGUCGAAGAUACCAGCUGGCUGCAACUGUUUAUUAAAAACACAGCACUCUGCAAACACGAAAGUGGACGUAUAGGGUGUGAUGCCUGCCCGGUGCUGGAAGGUUAAUUGAUGGUGUAAUCGAAAGAGAAGCUCCUGAUCGAAGCCCCAGUAAACGGCGGCCGUAACUAUAACGGUCCUAAGGUAGCGAAAUUCCUUGUC